Molecule: ribosomal RNA, 393 nt
Filed under: Triticum aestivum (bread wheat)
Lineage: Eukaryota; Viridiplantae; Streptophyta; Magnoliopsida; Poales; Poaceae
Description: partial small subunit ribosomal RNA
Source: RNAcentral
AUGAUCUUCAAACUUGACUUCAGAAAGGCAUUUGAUUCGGUUGCUUGGAACGCCCUAGACAAAAUCCUGGCUGUCCGUGGCUUCUCCCAAACUUUCCGUGGUUGGAUUCAAAAUAUCCUCCAUACUGGCAAGACUGCCAUCCUCCUCAAUGACAUUCCAGGUCAUUGGAUCCCAUGUAAGAAUGGUUUGCGUCAGGGCGACCCGGCCUCCCCCUACCUCUUCCUAAUAGUAGUUGAUCUACUCCAGCAACUUAUCAUACAGAGCACCGAUCCCGAUCUCCAUCACCCCAUCUUUACCCACCUGCCCCCUACCAUCCUCCAAUACGCAGACGAUACAUUGAUCAUCGCAGCCGCCUCUCCCGCCGCAGCUGCCACACUAAAAAAAAUCCUUUAG